CUUUCAGAGAGACUCAACUCUUCUUAUCUGGCUUUGGAAACAAUCACGAGCUCAGGCUACCUGUGCAUUUUAGCUCCAAAAGGGCCACCCUUCCCUUUAUUCACUAGAGGUGGCAUAUUCAUGAAAGGAAUUGCAUCCCUUGGAAGUGACUGGAGACUACAUUCCUGAAGACUCUGCUGACAGAACAAUGAGGUGAGGGCAGAUGGAGAAGUCAACAUGGAGACACAAUAACCUCUUAGACACUUUUCAGUGACCAAGUAUUUCUAGAGUCCUACUUCAAGCCUUGCUCAUCCUCUUUGAUGAUUCAACCUCCCUCCUCGUGCUGGAAAACUGAAAUUUGAUGUUUAACCUGGCCUUAGUAACCACAGUAGAUAUGCUGAGUAUUUCUUUUCUUUCUGGCCUUUAGACAAUUUGGGAGGAUACACUGUUGACAUCUUAUCUUUCUUCUGCAGACUGGACUCGUUGGGAGUGGAUUUUCUGAUGAUAAAUGUAAAAGAAAGCCCUCUCCCUGGAAGGAGAGAAUAACCUAAUUGCUCAUUCUACUUAAAAUUGAAGAGGUUUGGGAAUUCCCUGGCAGUCCAGUGGUUAGGAUUCCUUGCUUCCACUGCAGGGGGUACGGGUUUGAUCCCUGGUUGCUGGUUGGGGAACUAAGAUCCCGUGUGCCAUGUGGCAAGGCCAAAAUCAAUAAAUAAAUAAACGGAAGAGGCUUGCUGAUGAUGUGUAGAAGAGCAACAACAGAAUUCCAUGCAUACCUUUAUAACAUUCUCAGCAGAACGUGUGUACCCAAUGUAUAUAGCUAGAUCCACAAAUAAGGCAACAAACCAUA
Lagenorhynchus albirostris (white-beaked dolphin) is the source of this 826-nucleotide long non-coding RNA. RefSeq lists it as uncharacterized. The record is from RefSeq and is a predicted model, not a curated record. The transcript has 3 exons. Lineage: Eukaryota; Metazoa; Chordata; Mammalia; Artiodactyla; Delphinidae.